Long non-coding RNA from Magnolia sinica, 4241 nucleotides. RefSeq lists it as uncharacterized. Lineage: Eukaryota; Viridiplantae; Streptophyta; Magnoliopsida; Magnoliales; Magnoliaceae. The record is from RefSeq and is a predicted model, not a curated record. The transcript has 5 exons.
AGUCGCCACUCAAGAUCAUCAGCAUGUCUCUCCAUCGGGUCCCACGAUCCGAUAAUCGGAACCGUCCACGUUCUGUAUGCUACCCAACAUGGGCUAGGCUACUAAGGGGGGUCUGGAUGAGUGGGCCCGCAGUAUCUACAGGAUCUACGGACCUGAAGAUGGACGGUUUACGUCCAAUGAUCCGGCUAACUACUACUACGUGAACAGAGAAGAUCUGAUGACCUGCCACUCUAUUCAACCCUUGCUACCAACUCCUCCAUCUUCUGCAGCUCUUUGAUGGACCACCAAUCUCUCAGAACCGUCCAUCAAUCAAAUACUCCAAUCCUCUUUCUUUCUUUGAUGAAGACCCUCUGCUCGCGACUGAGCUCCUCGUGGCCCACUCAUUUUGCGGACCCAGCGGAUUCCUGCCUCAUCUUCGAAUCGAUCCACCGUUAGAACGUCUUCUUCCGGAACUCCCUGAUCAGCCGGUAGACCGUGGAGUUGUACCAGGUCCAAAGCAUUUCUGAUCAACUGCGGUGUCCUGACCGAAUGUAGAGUGGCACCAAAACUGUUGCUAAGGAUUCAAUCUGUGUCAAAAAAUAUUUGUACACUGCACUUAGUUAGAAACAAUUAAUUCACCUCUAACACAUAUUCUUAUUGUUUCUUAGUUUGAAAUAAUGGAACAGUCCAAAUGAAGUUCUUAAAAUACUAUGGAGUAAAAUAAAAGGGUGAAAUGAGAUUAAUUUAUCAUUGACUCGAGAUGAUUUCUUUCUUUCUUUUAUUAUUAUUAUUAUUAUUAUUAUUAUUAUUUUCUUUUCUUUUUCUUUUUUACCCUUACAUUUGAGAUGUAUGAACGCUGCCAAAGGAAUUGUGGGAAGCUUCUUAGAUUAACCAUUUCACUGCAAAGACAUAGGCCUAAAUAUCUAGGGUCCCCAUUUCUUUGAAAAUAUUGCUUUUUUUAAUUUUGUUAGCUUGUUAGUACACCCCACUGUCAGUUCACACAUCACUGUUAGCCACCCCCACUAGGGAAUCGAUACCAAGACCUCGAUGUUGAAAUGAGGUAUCUUCCACUCAGUCUACCACUUGAGCUAUGGAUCAGGGUGUAAAUAUUGCUUUAUUUGAGCAAGCUUGCAAUCUAGGAAUGAGUUAUGCUGACCAUGAACACCAAUUAAUGAACAGUGACAAGUAGCUGAAACCAAACUGUGGCAACUUCCCUUACUCUCUAGCCCAUGAGGAGAUCACAUGGACUGACUAGAUCCUCCACCCAUAGACAAGGUCACCAACAACGGACUUCCCUACAAAUAUCCCUCUCCAUUACAGUUUGGGACCAUUUCAAUUGCAACAAGGACCCCAAGUGGACCACCAUCCUCUUACUCUUCAAACAAGUAUUUCUUUCGAGAUUUGAACUUCAAAUCUCUCCUUAGUCGGCCAAAUCCACCUACCUGAGUAUGGCGGUAAUCCACGUCAAAAUGUGACACUGACCUCAUCAAUGCAAGAUUCUACUUGGUGCAUAUCUCUAACUGCUGAACUUUGCUCUCAUCAAUCUUAGUAUCAGAAGACUUAGUCGUUGGGGUUAGGCUUCAUCUGACACGGUCAGGGUGGUCCUCCUCCACCAAUUCCCUAUUGACUAUCCACAAAUUCUAAGCCUGUAGGAGAGGUCCCCUCAUCAUGUCACGCUCUAACCACUUAAUCCCCCCUUGCUUCUAUGGCGUUGGGGAUCCUAUAAAACACAUGCCGGUCACAUGCACCAACUUCCACCUGGCAAUGGUGGGCCUCCUCUCCGAACGGAAGCCUGGAGGAAGGAUGCAAUUGUUUUCAUAGCAGUUGCAAUCAUAUAUCGAUGAUGGCUAAAUUUGGCAUUACUCAGCAGCUCAGAUGAUGUGACCUACACUGAUUGGUGGUCACUUUCGUCAUAUGUGGACCGCUACAGAGUGCAAACUUAACUGGUUUGCUCUUGGUCAGUCCUACUUGGUUAAAUUUAUUACUAUCAUGCCCAUGCCAGAGUUAUAUGGUCUACCUUGGGGUUUUGAAUGAGUAAGCCACUCAUAAAUGUGAACCCAGUAGCCUUAGCCUUAGCCUUCAUACCCUUUGUCUGUAUUAGACCUCAUUAACUUCUGUUCAAACUACUUCCCACAUCAGGCUUAUUUCACCUUUCAUUUUGUAAUAUAUAAUGAUGACUAAAGUCUAAAAUAACCUGUUGAGGACCACCAGUACAGAUAAGCUUUUUAUUCUUGUGGCCAUAGUCUUGGAUUGAGAUCUCUAGUUGAAAAUCUGCCAUUAUUUUGACUGAGACAUUUGGUUUGAUGGCGCUGUGGGUCUUCGUGAAGCUCAAAGGAUUUGCCGACAGAAAAUUGUACGGGCCAUUACUUUAAACUACUAUUACAAAUCUAAAAUGACCUAAGGGUAACGUGGCAUGGGAAGUGCUCUCUUAGUUCUCUUCCUGUACUUAUCCCACUUGGGAUUUGGGGUGGAAGAAGCGAGAAAACAGAUCCUGCUUGAUGCGGUUCCCAUUUUCUGUCCUGCCCCAAACACAAAGCAGAUGGGCUGUGCUCAUCCUGAUUUGAAAGGGUUUCCAGACAAGCCCUAAAUGAUUUGCAAUCUAAUCCAAUUAAUCAACUCAUACCCAAUCGUGUGUUUCCAUGUUUAUUUAGGUUUCAUACUAUGUUAGGUACUGAUUGAUGAUCUUAACAUACAUCUGCAAUGGCUACUACUGAAAAUAGCAAUUCAGAUCCUACUCUUCCCGCAGAUGCCUAUUUGCCCGUGUGUGAUCUGGGCAUUUCAUCAUGCUGGAUCCAUCGUCUUACGUGCCAUGACCCAAAAAAUCAGGCCAGUUCGAUCGUCAGUGGGGUCCACCUGAUGAACAAACCAGAUCUCUUGUACACAUGCCUGCAUAGGAGAUUAGCAUUUUGGUGACUACUCCAGCAUUUCUCAUCCUAAUAUGGGCAUUAUUGGUAUUGGACUCUAUCAAGCUGUGGUCUGUGGUGCAGUGGCCGUUGAACAGGACCACUGCUUUUCAUCAUCCAUCCUCAAAAAAGAUAAAAAAAGAGAAUGUUAUUAUUAUGUAUCAGAAGCUGGCUCUACUUGGGCAGGCUGGAACAGGAAAAAAGGGUGUUCUUAGCUCCCACAUAUGCCACAUGGCAGUGGAGUGGUAGAUCCAGACUGUCCAUCAAAUGGGUCUUGCCUUUUGGAAGCUUACAGUCUUCCCAUUGAAAAGAUUGCUGGGGCAUGGUCCACCCAUGGUGGGCCCCAUCUGCGAAACUGCAAAUCUGGGUAUCCUGUGCAAAGACGCAGGUAGUCUGAAUAAGAUUCCUCAGGACAAAUGGAGGGUUUUUAAAAGGAGAAACAAUAAGUAACUUUAUAGGCUAUGCUGUAUACUAGUUGUGCAGACACCUCUGGUACACCUGCGAGCAUGCACCUCAGUCCAACCCAAAUAAAUCAGGGGCCUGCCUUUCGGUGAAGCAUAUCCUAUAAAUCACAGUCAUCCCAAGAUCCUGACUUUCCAAUCAAUAGAUGUUGUCCUGUUUAAUUUGGACUACUUUUUUGUUUUUGUUUUUUUACACAUGCACCCUCACACCCACACACCACAAGGGUACUCAAACCCAUGACCUCAGUGUUGAAACCUACAGGGUCUACCACUGAGCCAUGAGUAGGGACCUAAUAAUUUGGACUACUUAUCUUCUAAUUCAUCCAUUUGAUCCGAUCAGUUUGAUGGUUACGAUCAUUUGGUCGAUGUGAAUUUUCAGUCAUGCCCCAUUCGAUUCGGUACCACAUUCUACGGUUUGGAUUGAUUAAUGUGAGUGUGGGCAUGCAUGUGACCCACUAGAGUCUCAGGUGAUCAUAUUCCUAUUUGAAAAGGCCCUUCCAAUGCAAAACUCAUUCCUUUGGUCUUCUUUCUGUUGUUCUUGUUCUGAGUCAUGUAUUUAUCAGACAAUGUAAUGUUAUUGGAGUUAGAGAUUAGAAAAUUUUGAAGAAAAUAAGAUAGAAUGUUUGUUCGGGUCCAAGUUGAAAUUGCAUGGAUGGGUGGUGUGAGUUCUGAUUUGGGUUUCUUUCCUAAGAAAUGAAUUUGUAUGGAGGAGAUUGAGUUUGAGGAAGGGAAGUGAUAUGUAGGCCCCAUGUUUUUGACACACACACACGCCAUUGUUAUUGCCUGCUUUUGCGAAGAAAAGAUGAGCAAGAUUUGAAGGACCAAUGAGAAGGGGUGUAUACAACCAGUACUUGGGGUGAAAAUAUCAUUUAUUUUGUGAAUUUUCCAGCACUUUCUG